CGUGUAGGCGGUUGGGCAAGUCAGAUGUGAAAGCCUUCCGCUCAACGGAAGAAGGGCAUUUGAAACUACCCGGCUGGAGUACGGGAGAGGAGAGUGGAAUUCCCGGUGUAGAGGUGAAAUUCGUAAAUAUCGGGAGGAACACCAGUGGCGAAGGCGGCUCUCUGGUCCGAUACUGACGCUGAGACGCGAAAGCGUGGGGAGCAAACAGGAUUAGAUACCCUGGUAGUCCACGCCGUAAACGAUGGGCACUAGGUGUAGGAGGUAUUGACCCCUUCUGUGCCGAAGCUAACGCAUUAAGUGCCCCGCCUGGGGAGUACGGCCGCAAGGCUAAAA
Molecule: ribosomal RNA, 333 nt
Filed under: uncultured bacterium
Lineage: Bacteria
Description: bacterial SSU rRNA
Rfam family: Bacterial small subunit ribosomal RNA
Source: RNAcentral